RNAcentral lists this ribosomal RNA (327 nucleotides) under Deltaproteobacteria bacterium. RNAcentral's name for it is "bacterial SSU rRNA". It matches the Rfam family "Bacterial small subunit ribosomal RNA", at positions 1 to 309 of the family's 1533-position model. Lineage: Bacteria; Pseudomonadati; Myxococcota; Myxococcia. The record is from RNAcentral.
UUAAUUGGAGAGUUUGAUCCUGGCUCAGAACGAACGCUAGCGGCGUGCCUAACACAUGCAAGUCGCACGAGAAAUCCCGGGCAACUGGGAGAGUAAAGUGGCGCACGGGUGAGUAACGCGUGGGUAAUCUACCUUGAAGUUGGGAAUAACACCUCGAAAGGGGUGCUAAUUCCGAAUAAUAUCCCGGGGACCUCGGUCUCGGGGAUCAAAGAUGGCUGAGGCUUGCAAGCUAUCGCUUAAGGAUGAGCCCGCGUACCAUUAGCUAGUUGGUGGGGUAAUGGCCCACCAAGGCCAUGAUGGUUAGCUGGUCUGAGAGGAUGGCCAGCC